Long non-coding RNA from Condylura cristata (star-nosed mole), 1075 nucleotides. RefSeq lists it as uncharacterized. The record is from RefSeq and is a predicted model, not a curated record. NCBI's taxonomy places the organism in Eukaryota, Metazoa, Chordata, Mammalia, Eulipotyphla, Talpidae. The transcript is spliced from 4 exons.
CGAUUGGCAGAGAGAAUCUAACAUAUACACAGAGGAGAUGGAGCAUAAAAUUGGGCGGACUGAUGCAGAGCACUAAAUGUAGAGAAAUGCGCAAUUAUCGUGGGACUCGCCCAGAGAAGACAGUCUCGGGAGUGGAAGGCGAUCCCGUGUCUGCCAGAGGAAAGCUAACGACUGGACUGGAAGUUCCUGCGACCGCCUGAGUGUCCCCGAGCUGCGACUCUCCUCGCGACGUCUGUGCAGAAGGCGCGUUCUCCGGACAGUGGGGAAACAGAGGCACAGCCUGCGCACGGAGUAAAGGAAAACUCUCAAGAAAACUUCUCCCCAGAAUCUGCGACAUGAGUUCCAGUCCUGGACACUUGACUUUCCCCCUCAGUUCUGCCUCUGCACAUGUCCACUUACUUAACAAUCAUUUGUCCUUGAUCUUUGCGCACAUGGCCGGGCCUCUAGCCUCCGUUAGCCCCGCCUACUAUUUGCCCCUUUCUUUAAUUUGUCUUGUAUGUUAGUGCUGGGUCAGCAAGUCUUUUGUGCUGUGGUCCAGGGCCAGUGUAUGUAUGUCUGUGUGUGUAUGUGUCUGUGUGUGGUGUUAUUUUCCUUUUGUUAUCCCCCCCCCAACACUACAGAAAUGAAACACACAUGCAGCUCUGUCGCCUCAUAUUUUCAGAUGUUUUUCACACUAUUGUCUGCUCCAAGCCGCUGAAAGUGCAAAGUGAAAACAGAUGCAUCUGAAAAAAAAAUUUUGAAAGGGGACAAUCCUAGAACGGGUACUAACCCCUCAAAUAAAGAUAAGCAAUAAAUAUAAUAUCAGAUUUAUAACGUGCAUCGAGUAGUCUUGAUUAGCACCAAGGUGAGCUUUGGUGAGAGUUUUAUCAUUUCCAUGUGUCUGGACUACAAGAAGAAAUCAAUGAAGGAAGAGCUCUAUAAAUCAGCAUUGAUGUCAAGACAAAUCAAAAUAAUGCCUCUAUUAUUUCAAUCAAUAAACCAUUUUUAUUCCCAACAUCUGUAAUACACAGUGUGUGUCCGUCUGUUUGUAUUUGGAAUUGGCAGCUUCUACUUAUACCAAAACAAACCUUUCAAA